Molecule: ribosomal RNA, 253 nt
Filed under: uncultured bacterium
Lineage: Bacteria
Description: partial 16S ribosomal RNA
Rfam family: Bacterial small subunit ribosomal RNA
Source: RNAcentral
UACGAAGGGGGCUAGCGUUGUUCGGAAUCACUGGGCGUAAAGGGCGCGUAGGCGGCUUUAUAAGUCGGGGGUGAAAGCCUGUGGCUCAACCACAGAAUUGCCUUCGAUACUGUAGAGCUUGAGACCGGAAGAGGUAAGUGGAACUGCGAGUGUAGAGGUGAAAUUCGUAGAUAUUCGCAAGAACACCAGUGGCGAAGGCGGCCUACUGGUCCGGUUCUGACGCUGAGGCGCGAAAGCGUGGGGAGCAAACAGG